This is a small nuclear RNA of Onthophagus taurus, 174 nucleotides long. RefSeq annotates it as U12 minor spliceosomal RNA. NCBI's taxonomy places the organism in Eukaryota, Metazoa, Arthropoda, Insecta, Coleoptera, Scarabaeidae. The record is from RefSeq and is a predicted model, not a curated record.
GUGCCUUAAACUCAUGAGUAAGGAAAAUAUACGAGCCUUGGUGACGCUUGGCUUAAUUUAAAAAAUUUAGGUUAUGCCUAAAUGAUUUUUUAAUAAUUUUUUGAGGGGUACAGGCCGUCCCGAAAGUUCGCGCCUACUUUGCGCUUUUUGAACUUGGGUGAAGCGGUCUACCCC